CGAUGGUUGUACGGGGGAACUCUAGAGAUUAGAGUUUGAUCCUGGCUCAGAACGAACGCUGGCGGCGUGGAUAAGACAUGCAAGUCGAACGCUAAUCACGAGGUAGCAAUAUUUCGUGGUUGGAGUGGCGCAAGGGUGCGUAACGCGUGGGUAAUCUACCGUGAAGUUUGGGAUAACUCGCUGAAAGGCGAGCUAAUACCGGAUGUGAAAAUAGAGAGGCAUCUCUUUAUUUUCAGAGCUGGGGACCGUAAGGCCUGGCGCUUCACGAUGAACCCGCGACCUAUCAGCUAGUUGGUGAGGUAACGGCCCACCAAGGCUAAGACGGGUAGCUGGUCUGAGAGGACGACCAGCCACACUGGAACUGAGACACGGUCCAGACACCUACGGGUGGCAGCAGUCGAGAAUUUUUCACAAUGGGCGAAAGCCUGAUGGAGCGACGCCGCGUGGGGGAUGAAUGGCUUCGGCCCGUAAACCCCUGUCAUUUGCGAACAAACCUUGCUAUUUAAAAGAUGGCAAGUUGAUGGUAGCGAAAGAGGAAGGGACGGCUAACUCUGUGCCAGCAGCCGCGGUAAUACAGAGGUCCCAAGCGUUGUUCGGAUUCACUGGGCGUAAAGGGUGCGUAGGUGGCGGGGUAAGUCGGAUGUGAAAUCUCCGAGCUCAACUCGGAAAUGGCAUUGGAAACUACCCUGCUUGAGGGUUGGAGGGGGGACUGGAAUACUUGGUGUAGCAGUGAAAUGCGUAGAUAUCAAGUGGAACACCAGUGGCGAAGGCGAGUCCCUGGACAACUCGUGACACUGAGGCACGAAAGCUAGGGGAGCAAACAGGAUUAGAUACCCUGGUAGUCCUAGCUGUAAACGGUGCACGUUUGCUGUAAAAGGAAUCGACCCCUUUUGUGGCGUAGCCAACGCGUUAAACGUGCCGCCUGGGAAGUACGGUCGCAAGAUUAAAACUCAAAGAAAUUGACGGGGGCCUGCACAAGCGGUGGAGUAUGUGGCUCAAUUCGAUGCAACGCGAAGAACCUUACCUGGCCUUGACAUGCAAGUAGUAGAAGGGUGAAAGCCUGACGAGGUAGCAAUACCAGCUUGCACAGGUGCUGCAUGGCUGUCGUCAGCUCGUGUCGUGAGAUGUUGGGUUAAGUCCCGCAACGAGCGCAACCCCUGUGUCCUGUUGCCACCCCUACGAGAGUAGGGAGCACUCUGGACAGACUGCCUCGCUUAAACGAGGAGGAAGGUGGGGAUGACGUCAAGUCAGUAUGGCCCUUACGGCCAGGGCUGCACACGUACUACAAUGCCCGGCACAAAGGGAAGCAAGACCGCGAGGUGGAGCAAAUCCCCUAAAACCGGGCCCAGUUCAGAUUGAAGGCUGCAACUCGCCUUCAUGAAGCUGGAAUCGCUAGUAAUGGCGCAUCAGCUACGGCGCCGUGAAUACGUUCCCAGGCCUUGUACACACCGCCCGUCACAUCAUGAAAGCCGUUUGUACCCGAAGUCACCGUGCCAACCGCAAGGGGGCAGGUGCCGAAGGUAUGGAUGGUGAUUGGGAUGAAGUCGUAACAAGGUAGCCGUAAAUCGUCGACUGCAGGGCAUGCAAGUCAGGGCC
RNAcentral lists this ribosomal RNA (1596 nucleotides) under uncultured bacterium. RNAcentral's name for it is "bacterial SSU rRNA". It matches the Rfam family "Bacterial small subunit ribosomal RNA". The record is from RNAcentral.